UACGUAGGGUGCGAGCGUUAAUCGGAAUUACUGGGCGUAAAGAGCGCGCAGGCGGUCGUUCAAGUCGAGUGUGAAAGCCCCCGGCUCAACUGGGGAGGGUCAUUCGAUACUGAUCGACUCGAAGGCAGGAGAGGGAAGCGGAAUUCCCGGUGUAGUGGUGAAAUGCGUAGAUAUCGGGAGGAACACCAGUGGCGAAGGCGGUUGCCUGGAGCUUUGCUGACGCUGAGGCGCGAAAGCGUGGGGAGCGAUCCGG
This 253-nucleotide ribosomal RNA is filed under the name uncultured bacterium. RNAcentral describes it as "partial 16S ribosomal RNA". It matches the Rfam family "Bacterial small subunit ribosomal RNA", at positions 524 to 776 of the family's 1533-position model. The record is from RNAcentral.